AGAGUUUGAUCAUGGCUCAGAACGUACGCUGGCGGCACGCCUAACACAUGCAAGUCGAACGAAGUAGCAAUACUUAGUGGCAGACGGGUGAGUAACAUGUAGGUAUCUGCCCUUUGGCCUGGAAUAACACGAGGAAACUUGUGCUAAUACCGGAUAAGUCUUUACGGAGAAAGCUUUAUGCACCAUUGGAUGAGCCUGCACUUGAUUAGUUUGUUGGUGGGGUAAUGGCCUACCAAGACUGUGAUCAAUAGCUGAUUUGAGAGGAUGAUCAGCCACAUUGGGACUGAGACACGGCCCAAACUCCUACGGGAGGCAGCAGUGGGGAAUCUUGCACAAUGGAGGAAACUCUGAUGCAGCGAUGCCGCGUGAGUGAAGAAGGCCUUUGGGUUGUAAAGCUCUUUCGUCGGGGAAGAAAAUGACUGUACCCGAAUAAGAAGGUCCGGCUAACUUCGUGCCAGCAGCCGCGGUAAUACGAAGGGACCUAGCGUAGUUCGGAAUUACUGGGCUUAAAGAGUUCGUAGGUGGUUGAAAAAGUUGGUGGUGAAAUCCCAGAGCUUAACUCUGGAACUGCCAUCAAAACUUUUCAGCUAGAGUAUGAUAGAGGAAAGCAGAAUUUCUAGUGUAGAGGUGAAAUUCGUAGAUAUUAGAAAGAAUACCAAUUGCGAAGGCAGCUUUCUGGAUCAUUACUGACACUGAGGAACGAAAGCAUGGGUAGCGAAGAGGAUUAGAUACCCUCGUAGUCCAUGCCGUAAACGAUGUGUGUUAGACGUUGGAAAUUUAUUUUCAGUGUCGCAGCGAAAGCGAUAAACACACCGCCUGGGGAGUACGACCGCAAGGUUAAAACUCAAAUGAAUUGACGGGGACCCGCACAAGUAGUGGAGCAUGUGGUUUAAUUCGAAGAUACGCGCAGAACCUUACCAACACUUGACAUGUUCGUCGCGACUCUAAGAGAUUAGAGUUUUCGGUUCGGCCGGACGAAACACAGGUGCUGCAUGGCUGUCGUCAGCUCGUGUCGUGAGAUGUUGGGUUAAGUCCCGCAACGAGCGCAACCCUCACUUUUAGUUGCCAUCAUUAAGUUGGGCACUCUGAAAGAACUGCCAGUGAUAAGCUGGAGGAAGGUGGGGAUGACGUCAAGUCCUCAUGGCCCUUACGUGUUGGGCUACACACGUGCUACAAUGGUAUCUACAACAGGAAGCAAGACUGCGAGGUCAAGCAAAUCCCUAAAAGAUACCUCAGUUCGGAUUGCACUCUGCAACUCGAGUGCAUGAAGCUGGAAUUACUAGUAAUCGUGGAUCAGCGUGCCACGGUGAAUGCGUUCCCGGGUCUUGUACACACCGCCCGUCACACCAUGGGAGUUGGUUCUACCUUAAGGCAAGGUUUCAAACCCUUGACCACGGUAUAGUCAGCGACUGGGGUGAAGUCGUAACAAGGUAGCCGUAGGGGAACCUGCGGCUG
This 1455-nucleotide ribosomal RNA is filed under the name uncultured Pelagibacteraceae bacterium. Its description in RNAcentral is "bacterial SSU rRNA". It matches the Rfam family "Bacterial small subunit ribosomal RNA". Lineage: Bacteria; Pseudomonadati; Pseudomonadota; Alphaproteobacteria; Candidatus Pelagibacterales; Candidatus Pelagibacteraceae. The record is from RNAcentral.